GAUGAAGAACGUAGCGAAAUGCGAUAAGUAAUGUGAAUUGCAGAAUUCAGUGAAUCAUCGAAUCUUUGAACGCACAUUGCGCCCCUCGGCACUCCGGGGGGCAUGCCUGUCCGAGCGUCAUUGCACCCCUCGAGCCCCCCGUGGCUUGGUCGUGAGCCGCGCCUGCGCAACCCCCGUUCCCCCCCUGUGAAGGGGGGGGGCGGGGCGCCGGGCGGGCUUGAAACGCAGUGGCGGCCCCCGGGCGACUUCCAGCGCGAUGACAUGUUUCGCUGCCGAAGCGUUCGCCCCGGGCGCCCGCCAGGCAACCCCCGUGUGUUUUAUGCGGUUGACCUCGGAUCAGGCAGGGAUACCCGCUGAACUUAAGCAUAUCAAUAAGCGGAGGA
Molecule: unclassified non-coding RNA, 383 nt
Filed under: soil metagenome
Description: partial contains 5.8S ribosomal RNA, internal transcribed spacer 2, and large subunit ribosomal RNA
Rfam family: 5.8S ribosomal RNA (bases 1-120)
Source: RNAcentral